CCUACGGGAGGCAGCAGUGGGGAAUAUUGCACAAUGGGGGAAACCCUGAUGCAGCGACGCCGCGUGAGUGAAGAAGUAUUUCGGUAUGUAAAGCUCUAUCAGCAGGGAAGAAAAUGACGGUACCUGUUUAAGAAGCCCCGGCUAACUACGUGCCAGCAGCCGCGGUAAUACGGAGGGGGCAAGCGUUAUCCGGAUUUACUGGGGGUAAAGGGAGCGUAGACGGCAGCACAAGUCUGGAGUGAAAUGCCGGGGCUUAACCCCGGAACUGCUUUGGAAACUGGGCAGCUAGAGUGCAGGAGGGGGAAGUGGAAUUACUGGUGUAGCGGUGAAAGGCGUAGAUAUUAGGAGGAACACCAGUGGCGAAGGCGGCUUACUGGACUGUAACUGACGUUGAGGCUCGAAAGCGUGGGGAGCAAACAGGAUUAGAUACCCCUGUAGUC
This 440-nucleotide ribosomal RNA is filed under the name uncultured bacterium. RNAcentral describes it as "partial 16S ribosomal RNA". It matches the Rfam family "Bacterial small subunit ribosomal RNA", at positions 338 to 795 of the family's 1533-position model. The record is from RNAcentral.